RNAcentral lists this ribosomal RNA (421 nucleotides) under Escherichia coli. RNAcentral's name for it is "bacterial SSU rRNA". It matches the Rfam family "Bacterial small subunit ribosomal RNA", at positions 1 to 418 of the family's 1533-position model. Lineage: Bacteria; Pseudomonadati; Pseudomonadota; Gammaproteobacteria; Enterobacterales; Enterobacteriaceae. The record is from RNAcentral.
AAAUUGAAGGGUUUGAUCAUGGCUCAGAUUGAACGCUGGCGGCAGGCCUAACACAUGCAAGUCGAACGGUAACAGGAAGAAGCUUGCUUCUUUGCUGACGAGUGGCGGACGGGUGAGUAAUGUCUGGGAAACUGCCUGAUGGAGGGGGAUAACUACUGGAAACGGUAGCUAAUACCGCAUAACGUCGCAAGACCAAAGAGGGGGACCUUCGGGCCUCUUGCCAUCGGAUGUGCCCAGAUGGGAUUAGCUAGUAGGUGGGGUAACGGCUCACCUAGGCGACGAUCCCUAGCUGGUCUGAGAGGAUGACCAGCCACACUGGAACUGAGACACGGUCCAGACUCCUACGGGAGGCAGCAGUGGGGAAUAUUGCACAAUGGGCGCAAGCCUGAUGCAGCCAUGCCGCGUGUAUGAAGAAGGCCUU